CCCGGGAUAGCAUGUGCUAGCAAGGCUACAGAUGAAGAUGUUAUACUGGCUCAACAAACAAAUGAUAAGCACGAUGGGAGAGUGAGGGACUGGUGGAAAUUGACUGAGGACUACUGCUGGACAGGGUCUGAAAUGACAGGACAGGUUAGAACUGGCAGAGGUCUCUGGCCCUGGAGCGUGGUAGACAAAUCCUGCCCCUGAAAGACGGAGCACGUAGGGGCUGAGAGAGCACAAGUCUGCCCCU
This is a long non-coding RNA of Thunnus maccoyii (southern bluefin tuna), 244 nucleotides long. RefSeq lists it as uncharacterized. NCBI's taxonomy places the organism in Eukaryota, Metazoa, Chordata, Actinopteri, Scombriformes, Scombridae. The transcript is spliced from 3 exons. The record is from RefSeq and is a predicted model, not a curated record.